This 120-nucleotide ribosomal RNA is filed under the name Escherichia coli P12b. Lineage: Bacteria; Pseudomonadati; Pseudomonadota; Gammaproteobacteria; Enterobacterales; Enterobacteriaceae. The record is from RNAcentral.
UUGCCUGGCGGCCGUAGCGCGGUGGUCCCACCUGACCCCAUGCCGAACUCAGAAGUGAAACGCCGUAGCGCCGAUGGUAGUGUGGGGUCUCCCCAUGCGAGAGUAGGGAACUGCCAGGCA